CCUACGGGGGGCAGCAGUGGGGAAUAUUGGGCAAUGGGCGCAAGCCUGACCCAGCAACGCCGCGUGAAGGAAGAAGGCUCUCGGGUUGUAAACUUCUUUUAUCAGGGACGAAGCAAGUGACGGUACUUGCUGAAUAAGCCACGGCUAACUACGUGCCAGCAGCCGCGGUAAUACGUAGGUGGCAAGCGUUAUCCGGAUUUACUGGGUGUAAAGGUCGUGUAGGCGGGAGUGCAAGUCAGAUGUGAAAACUAUGGGCUCAACCCAUAGCCUGCAUUUGAAACUGUACUUCUUGAGUGCUGGAGAGGCAAUCGGAAUUCCGUGUGUAGCGGUGAAAUGCGUAGAUAUACGGAGGAAGACCAGUGGCGAAGGCGGAUUGCUGGACAGUAACUGACGCUGAGGCGCGAAAGCGUGGGGAGCAAACAGGAUUAGAUACCCCAGUAGUC
This 443-nucleotide ribosomal RNA is filed under the name uncultured bacterium. RNAcentral describes it as "partial 16S ribosomal RNA". It matches the Rfam family "Bacterial small subunit ribosomal RNA", at positions 338 to 795 of the family's 1533-position model. The record is from RNAcentral.